CGACGCCGGGUGGGAGAGCUUCCGAUAGGGAAGCGCCGACGGGGCAACUCUCCCCAGAACCUCUCAGGCACCAGGACCAUCCGGAAGAG
This 89-nucleotide non-coding RNA is filed under the name Branchiibius sp. NY16-3462-2. RNAcentral describes it as "Glycine riboswitch aptamer". It matches the Rfam family "Glycine riboswitch aptamer". Rfam says of the family: This family represents the bacterial glycine riboswitch. Glycine riboswitches usually consist of two metabolite-binding aptamers domains with similar structures in tandem. Lineage: Bacteria; Bacillati; Actinomycetota; Actinomycetes; Micrococcales; Dermacoccaceae. RNAcentral also lists the same sequence under 1 other name. The record is from Rfam by way of RNAcentral.